GUGCAAUGAUGAACUGUUGACCUUAUAACCAUGAAGGUCUCUACAUUUGAUCUGAGCUCA
RNAcentral lists this small nucleolar RNA (60 nucleotides) under Erinaceus europaeus (western European hedgehog). RNAcentral's name for it is "Small nucleolar RNA U2-30 (ENSEEUG00000019595.1)". The record is from RNAcentral. Lineage: Eukaryota; Metazoa; Chordata; Mammalia; Eulipotyphla; Erinaceidae.